Long non-coding RNA from Fukomys damarensis (Damara mole-rat), 2660 nucleotides. Lineage: Eukaryota; Metazoa; Chordata; Mammalia; Rodentia; Bathyergidae. The record is from Ensembl.
AUGAUUCUCUUGCCUCGGCCUAUUAAGUGCUGGAAUUACAGUUCUGCACCGCUGUGUCCAGCUGGAAACCAGUUCUCUAAAGGGACUUCCUCUUGUGGCUUUGCCUCUCUACAGUUUAUUUUCACAGUAGCAUUGAGGAUAAUUCUUCAACUCAGGCCCCGCGUCCAGCAGCCAAACUGUCUACCUGGUCUGUGCGGCAUUCAAGUGCUGACACUGCCACGCCGGGUGUGCCCUACCUCAGAGGUGUCAGUGGAUAUUCCAGGUGCCUUGAAGCGUUCCUCCCUGGGUGGCUGGGCGCUCUCUCCUACACUCUGUCAUGUCAUCACUCAAUGGCACCUGUUACUGAGACCUGGCCAGACCACCCCCACCCGGCACCCUCUGUACUUUGCUUUGUUAUUCUUUCAGUGUGUAUCAUCCCCCACGGUACCACGGAUUUACUAGAUGCUUCAUUUUGUCUCUGCACUAGGAACUGAGUCCCAGAGAAAGAGGGUUUCUGUAUUUUUGUCACUGCGCUAUUGUCAGUGCCUGCUUCAGCACCUAGCGGAGAGCAGGUGCUCAAUGAAUAUUUGUUGAAAAUGAAUGAAUCAGUAAGUGAGUAAACACAUGCUUGGGUCCACAGACUUACAUGUAACAAGAAAGAAGAUAAUGCAUCAGUUCAUAAUUAAAUAGAAGCAGUUUUCAUGAAAAUGAUAUUUUGGGCCACAAGUAACUCUUAUAAGAAAGGCUUUAUUUUCUCUGGUGGUUAGGGGAGGAAUGUAAUUAUUGAGGACUCAACAGAGAAGAAAAAGGCACUGGCAAAUAUGGUUUGUUUAAUCUAAACCAGGCAGCAGGAUGACAUCUGCAAAUGUUGCUAAAGGAUUGUUGUUACGUUAUGAAAGAAAUAAAGAUCAUCAAAGAUUGGGGUCACUGAGAAGGGGGAUUUUGAAGAUGAUGGUGUGGCUAGUUCACCACUUCACACUAAUUCACACACAAUUCACACUAAUUCACCACCAUGUCCACAUUGGGACGGUAUGCUUUGACUCUUGAAUGGAACAAGAGAAAAAAAUCACUUAUUUUCUUUUUCAACUGGAUAACAUCAAUCAAAAAGCAGAAUUUCCUUACUUCCAAGAACAGCUUUAAGAAACAAUUCACAUGCUGUAAAAUUCACCUUUAUAAAGUGUCCAAUUCAGUGGUUUUCAGUAUAUUCAGAGUUGUGCACCUGUUACCACUAUCAAAUUUUAUAACAACUUCACCAUUUCAAUGAGGAAUUCUAUCUCCAUGCAAUGUUUCCUGAACCCCCACCCCUGGCAAACACUAAUAAACUUCCUAUCUGUGUGGGUUUGCCUGCUGUGAAUAUGCUAAAUGAAUGGAAUCCUACUCUACAUGUGUGUACUAUAUAUCACACUUAUACAUGUCACACAUAUUGCAUGAGGCUUUUUCCACUUAACAUGAAGUUUUCUAGGUUCAUUUAUGUUAUGACAUUGAUCAGUACUUCAUUCUUUAUCUUAAAGCCUCCAAGGCAUGGACACACACCAUUCUUUUAUGCUUUCUUUUUUUAGCUAUUACAUAUGAAUAAUGCUUCCUGGACAUUCAUGUGUUGCAUUCUUGUAUGACUCUGUUUUUAUUUUCCCAGACUCUUCUUGCUUUGUACUCUGGAUAUAAAUCUAGUCAUGAGAUCAUGGAGUCAUAUUAUAACCCUGUGUCUAACAUUUUGAAGGACUGCCAAAUAUUUCCAGGAUCGCUGAACAAUUUUACAGCCCCACCAGCAACAUAUGAGAGUUCUGAUUUCUCUAUCUCCUUUCCGAUAUUUGUUACUGUCUGCUCUUUUAGCUACAGCCAUCCAAGCAGGGGUAAAAUGGCAUCUCACUGAGGUUUUCAUUUCCAUUUUGCUGGUUGUAAGUGAUGCUGGGUAUAACUUACAUAUGAUAUUGGCCACUUGGAUUUCCUUGCUGGAUAAAUGUCCUAUUUAAAUACUUUUAAAGAAAAUAUUAGGUUAUUUGACCUUUUUAUUGUUGACUUGUAAGAGUUCUAUAUAUAAUCUGGAAACAAGUAUCUUAUCAGAAAUUUGAUUAACAAACAUUUUCUACUAUUCUGUGGAUUGUGAAAAAGGCUUUUCACUUUUUAAAUAGUGUUUUUGGAAGCAAAACCAGAAAGAUUUUAAUUUUAAUGAAGUCUAUUUCACUUACCAUCUCUUGGUUAUUUGUGCCUUUGUUGCCUUAAGAAACCAUUGACUAAUCUGAUGUCAAAAAUAUUUAGUCCUAUGUUGUAUUACACACUUUUUAUUCUUUUAGCUCUUACUUUUAGGUAUAAGAUUCAUCUUGAGUUAACUUUUGCCUAUGGUAUGAAUUAGGAGUCCAGUUCCAUUCUUUCCCAUGUGGCUUAGCACUGUUUUUUGAAAAAACUGCUCCAUUCCCCAUUGAAUUGUCUUGGCUCCUGGGUGAAAAAUAGAUCAGUCAUUCUCAUGUGAGCUUAUUUCUGGGUUUUCAAAGCUAUCACAUGGAUCUAACUCUAUACCAAUAAAAUACUACUGUUUUUUAGUAGAUCUUUGAACUGAAAAGGGAAAGUCCUCCCCCUUUGUUCUUCUUUUUCAAGUUCAUUUUGGCUAUUCUUGGUCCCUUGAAUUUCAUAUUAAUUUUAGGACCACUUUUUUUUAAAAAAAGGCAAUUGGGACAUGAUAAGGA